GAUGAAGAACGCAGCGAAAUGCGAUAAGUAGUGUGAAUUGCAGAAUUCAGUGAGUCAUCGAAUCUUUGAACGCACAUUGCGCCCCUUGGUAUCCCGAGGGGCAUGCCUGUUCGAGCGUCAUUUCACCACUCAAGCCUGGCUUGGUGUUGGGCGACGUCCCCUUUGGGGACGCGCCUCGAAACGCUCGGCGGCGUGGCACCGGCUUUAAGCGUAGCAGAAUCUUUCGCUUUGGAAGUCGGGGCCCCGUCUGCCGGAAGACCUACUCGCAAGGUUGACCUCGGAUCAGGCAGGGAUACCCGCUGAACUUAAGCAUAUCAAUAAGCGGAGGA
RNAcentral lists this unclassified non-coding RNA (329 nucleotides) under soil metagenome. RNAcentral's name for it is "partial contains 5.8S ribosomal RNA, internal transcribed spacer 2, and large subunit ribosomal RNA". The stretch from base 1 to 120 matches the Rfam family "5.8S ribosomal RNA", at positions 35 to 154 of the family's 154-position model. The record is from RNAcentral.